GGUGACACUCUUCCUCAAUCCAGUCUUCUCUCAUGCGGGCCAACUGGGACUUCAGCUCCACAAUCUCACUUUCCCUAGAGUGGGAAGACAAGCAUGGUUAAGACGGCGUCAACUCUGGAACCAGGCAUCGAGCAAUUUGCACACACAGCCCGGAGCCCACGCUCUUCCAUUUGAAACACAGAAGUUUGGAUUCAUAUUUUAUGGAAAAAGAAGCUGUCCUGAAUCACAGGAAGGUGGAUUCACCUGUCAUGAAGCCGGCGCUCAGACUCCUUCAGCUUGGUCUUCAGGUGCCUCACCGUAACCUCCUUCUGCUGCAGAGGAGUCAAAUACUGCUCUGGAUUUGGGGGCUUGACACCAUGAUUUUCUCCACAUGACAUGUACCUUCCAGACCGCCUGAAACAAUCCAAGUCAGGAGAUGUUACUUUCUGUCAUCUCCUUUCCUCUGCAAAGGAAAGUAAUGGAGAAUGCCCUGGACUAUAUGUUUAUGUCUGCCCCCAAACGCAUAUGUUGGAAUUCUAACCCCAAUGUGACGGUAUCAGCAGAUGGGGCCUUGGGGAAGUGAUGAGAUCGUAAGGGAGGAGCACACAUGAUGGAAUCAGUGCCCUGCAGACAGAGGCCUCUAGCGGGUGAGGAUACGACUCGAAGCUGGCCAUGUACAACCCAGAAGAGGGCUCUCCCCCGAAUCUGACCAUGCUGGCCCCCUGAACUCAGAUUUUCAGCCCACAGAACAGUGAGAAAUACAUUUCUGCCAUGUAUGCAUUGCACCCAGUAUGCAUACUUACUUAGAACCACCCAAACUGACCAGGAUACACAGCUGAGAGCCAGAGAAGGAAUGGCAGCUGUAUGUUGGGUCUUAGACCUCAGUAAUGGAUGAUGUUGCUUCAUAAGAUGGACUGUAGUUAGUAUACCUGCCAAUUUUAGGAUUGCUAAUUACUUGGAAGAUUGAGGGGUAGGAAAGUGUGUGUGUGUAUGUGUGUGUGUGUGUGUGUGUGUGUGUGUGUGUGUAAACAGAGGAGAGAAGAUUUUCAGUGGCUGAGAAAUGAUCUCUUACAAAAUGAUUCAGUAUCCUCUCUAGGCCAGAACUGUCAGUUGGGAGUAGCAGCAUGCCAUGGAGGAGGAGGCAGGAGGGAAGGAACCUAUGGAGGAGAUCUAACUUUCUACACAGCGUACCCCUGCCUGAAGAUCCUGAUGAUUCCUUGAACUCGUGUUGUUCUGGAAUCAGGUCCCUGGAGGGAGUGUGUUGAUCUGAGGGAAAUGGAGAAUUCACUCUUCUGAAAGGAUCAAGGCCUCUCCGCUCCCACCAGUGCAUUUUGUAAGAGGUGCUCAGUGUUCUACAAAACAGCCCCCACUGGAAUCUUGGCCCUGCACAGGCCUGGCCUAGAACCGGGCAUCCCUGCUGUAAGAGAGCUGACUAAUGAGAGCAGGGACGCCCGGGGGGAAGAAGCCUGAAGGGGGAGGGCUGCCAGCUUCCUCCCUGACUCUGGACCUCACCCAAGCCACAGUGCUGCCCUGCUCCCCCCAAUGCCUGCACGCCAUCCAAGAUGGCCUGAGUCCAGUUUUCAACCCACUGGCCCUCCUCUCCCGGCCCCUUUGGAUGUACAGUUCCCUCUUCUGCUCUGCACUCCUGCACCUCGCAGGAAUUAACUCUUGGCUUGCCCUGCAGAUCCCGUUUCAGUUUCACUUCUCAGGGAGAUCUCCCCUGUCCCCUGGAGACUCCUCAUCCCUCACAGAUAAACAAGCGCUAGCAGAAUAAUCGCAAAUCUGCUUCCGUCAUUGGACAGUUAACACCUUUCUCCUCUGGGCAGCCAGCACAGGAGCAGUCCCUGUUGUUGACUGCUCUAUUCCCGAGGCUGGGAUUCAAAAACCAUUUAGCACUGGAAUAAAUGAAUGAACAAUUGUGUGAUUCUUCCUUGUGCGGAGGGAAAAGAGUAAAUCCCACCCCCCGGGCACCGUGCUAUUUUCCCUCCCUAUCCAAUAACUGCUUGAACUGCUGCGCCUGGCUAGAACGUGUGGUUGGGCUCUUUCUGCAGCAGCCCUGGAAGGAUUGGCUGAGUGUGGGAAAGGAAAGAGAAGCAUCUUAUUGCAGGAUAAGGCAGGGGACCAAGAGUUGCAUAACUUCUUAUAAUUUGUUUUUGUUUUUU
This is a long non-coding RNA of Oryctolagus cuniculus (rabbit), 2141 nucleotides long. RefSeq lists it as uncharacterized. The record is from RefSeq and is a predicted model, not a curated record. Lineage: Eukaryota; Metazoa; Chordata; Mammalia; Lagomorpha; Leporidae.